RNAcentral lists this non-coding RNA (98 nucleotides) under Caryophanon tenue. RNAcentral's name for it is "Guanine sequence". It matches the Rfam family "Purine riboswitch aptamer". From Rfam's summary of the family: Riboswitches are metabolite binding domains within certain messenger RNAs that serve as precision sensors for their corresponding targets. Allosteric rearrangement of mRNA structure is mediated by ligand binding, and this results in modulation of gene expression. The record is from Rfam by way of RNAcentral. Lineage: Bacteria; Bacillati; Bacillota; Bacilli; Caryophanales; Caryophanaceae.
GAAAAACAUUAUUGAAUCCCUCAUAUAUGCUAGAGAAUUGGCUCUAGUGUUUCUACCCGGCACCGUAAUGCUGGACUAUGUGGGAAAGCAACUUUUGG